This 21163-nucleotide long non-coding RNA is filed under the name Nicotiana tabacum (common tobacco). Its description in RNAcentral is "long non-coding RNA (NTAB_LNC000377)". The record is from RNAcentral. Lineage: Eukaryota; Viridiplantae; Streptophyta; Magnoliopsida; Solanales; Solanaceae.
AUUAAUGCUUAAACUGUUCGGAGCAAGGGCUAUUCCGCUCACUCCAUUUGCAUCUCUAUUUCCAUAAACCUGUAAGUUCAACACAAAAUGUAGAAACAAUUUGCUAGAGUUCUAAGUAGAAUGGUGAAACUUUUUUACUUGGUAUAUGAAUAUGGAAGGAAAUAAUUGUUCUUGAAGCGCAGUGAAAGCUCUUAGUGAUGUACAUGGAUACCCUCUUAUACAAUUCCAUAUUUUCUUGACGAAUUAGGUUUACCUUCUUAUAUAGUUCCAUGUUUUCUUGAUGGAUGAGGUUUCCCUGCAAGGAAAAAAGUUAAUUUAGCUUCUUUAAAAGUUAUCCUUUUUAGAACAAAUUGAAAACAAAAGUCACUGCAUUUUAUGUUGAUUGACCUUUCGGUUUAGUUCUUGUAUCUCAUCAAUCAGAAUUUCAUCCUGUAGAAAUGAGAGGUUGAGUUAGUUCUUCUUUAGUUCAUAUAAGAUAGUGCACAUUUGAUGGAUCUGGAAGUUUCGUACCUUUCUCACACGGACACCACGGAGACUCAUUUCCAGUUGGUUCUCCAAGUUCUGUAAAUCUUUGACGCUCAGACCAGAAAGCUCUUCACCCAUCAUUUGUCUAUAGUGCAGAAAUAAACUGUUAACAAACACGCGACUUCAACAGAAAAGUUGAUACCUGACUGACUAUGAUUUAGAUAUACAUCCAUUUCUAACAACUGUUGCUUCUCGCUUCUUGGGGGGGGGGGGGGGUUGAUGUUAAACAGCUCGAGGGUUUGGGCUUUAGCAGAAAUCUAUAACACCAUUUGAGAUGGGCUUAUUAUUGGAUUUUCACUCCCGACAUUAAGUGGUUUCUGAGUUUAUCUAGUGUAAACACCUCUACAGAAACCUUCAGUAAAUUGCAUGAUUCACUGCAGUAUAUUUUGCAAAAUGUAGUAUGCUUUAGAAGUCCAUGCUAAUACUUCUAAUCAUGAGAGAUAAGAGAUACUGGGUGCUGCUUGAUACUUUAACGCCUUGAUGUGAGGGAUGAUAGUAAGACAUUGUAAGGAUUAUGCUCACGGUCUUGAAUGUCUCAUCAUUUUGAUUGGAAUACCAGUAACCUCAAAUAAUCUCUGAAUGUCCUUUCUGUUAGCACUUACAGAUAUAACCUUCUUAUGGAGGAUCUAGAGUGGAUAUCUCUGUUUCAUCUGCUAUUUUGAAAACUGAAAAUGCUACCAGCUAUCAAGUGGCACUUCCUAGCAAGGUGGCUGAUAGUUUAACCCUUAAUUUCUUGCAUAGCAAAAGCUUUUUUAGGGAAAUUGGUGGUUAACCUAGGGAUUGCCUAAAGCAAUAAAAAACAGAAAUGAGAAAAAGGAACGAGACAAGUUAACCUUUUUAACAAUAAAAAAACAAGUCGACUAUUUCAUUUCCGUAACUAUAAACUAAAUGACCUUAUCAAAAAAAAAAACUAUAAACUAAAUGAAAUGACAACAAACAUUUAGAAAAUGACAACAAACAUUUAGAAUUAGUCAACUAUUAACUAAUUCAAAUGAAAACUUGACUUCUGGGCUCCAAAAUGAUGAAGUAAGUUGAAAUGGAAAGGUCUUCAACAUAUAAUUUAGGAGGCAAAGUACUAAUAGAACUUUAGGAUUGAAAGAUAGAUAGAAAUGAGAGGAAAGAAGAGAGUACAACAACAACAACAUACCCAGUGUAGUCUCACAAGUGGGGUCUAGGGGGUUGUGUGUACGCAGACCUUACCCUUACUCUUAAGAAGACAAGAGGCUGUUUCUGGUAGACCGUCGGCUCAGGAAAGAUAAAGGGAAGGGGCAAUAACAAGAAAACCAAUCGGAAAGCCGAAGCAAAAAUACAAAACUAACACUAGGUAAUGCAAUCAGAAAACCGAAGUGAAGGCAACAACAAGUAAUAACAAAAGUCUAGGAAGACGAAAAUACACGAAAGACGCUAAGUGAUGUACUAGAGCUACUGUAACAAACAAGGACAUCGCUCGACUACCUAACCUUUUACCUUUAUUCUCAACCUCCACACCUUCCUAUCCAUGGUCAUGUCAUCAGUAAGCUGGAGCAAUGUCAUAUCUUGCCUAAUCACCUCUUCCCAUUACUUCUUUGGCCUGCCUCUACCUCUCCGUUGGCUCUCUAAGGCCAACCUCUCACACCUCCUCACCGGUGCAUCUGUGCCUCUCCUCUUCACAUGCCUGAACCAUCUAAGUCUUGCCUCCCGCAUCUUGUACUCCAUAGGGCGCAUCUUGUACUCCAUAGGGGCCACGCCCACCUUGUCCUGGAUAACUUCAUUUUUAAUUUUAUCUAACCUGGUAUGCCCGCACAUCCAUCUCGACAUUCUCAUUUUAGUCACCUUUAUCUUUUGGACAUGAGAGUUCUUGACUGGCCAACACUCCACCCCAUACAACAUAAUCGGUCUGACCACCGCUCUAUAGAACUUACCUUUAAGUCUUGGUGGCACAUUCUUAUCAUAUAAAACACCGGAAGCGAGCCUCCAUUUCAUCUAUCCCGCCCCAAUACAAUGUGUGACAUCCUUGUCGAUCUCCCCAUUCCCUUGUAUAACUGACCCAUGGUACUUGAAACUUUCUUUCCUAGGGAUGACUUGUGAAUCAAGCCUCACGCCUUGGCCCACUACCUGUGUCGCACCACUGAACUUACACUCCAAGUAUUCUGUUUUGGUCCUGCUCAACUCGAAACCUUUAGAUUCCAGGGUCUGCCUCCAAACCUCUAACCUCUUGUUUACAUCACCUCGCGUCUCGUCAAUCAGUACAAUAUCAUCUGCAAAUAACAUGCAUCACAUCACCUCCCUUUGAAUGUGGCGCGUCAGUGCGUCGAUCGCCAGGUUAAAUAGAAAUGGGCUGAGGGCUUACCCCUGGUGCAACCCCAUCACAACUGGGAAGUGUUUCGAGUCCCCUCCCAGUGUCCUCACACGAGUCUUAGCUCCAUCAUGCAUGUCCUUAAUAGCCCUAAUGUAUGCAACUGGAACCCCUCUAGUCUCCAAACAUCUCCACAGAACCUCCCUCGACACUUUAUCGUAAGGCUUCUCUAAGUCGAUGAACACUAUAUGUAAAUCAGAGGAAAGAAGAGUAGGUAAUUUAAUUUUUUUGUUUGCUCGGAAUGGGUUUUUAGGAAUAGGAAGGGAGGAGGGAAGAGGGAAUUAAGUUCGUUAACACAAUGUUCUGUCCAAAAGUGGGUGAAACCAAGAAAAACAAGACAUGCUGUAGUGAAACUUUUGUAGCAUUAAAAGAAAACUCAGGAUUAUUAACAAAAUAACUAUUAAGGGAAUUAGUGUCAAUUGAUACACAUUCCUUUUAUAUUUCCUUACUCCAUCACAGGAAAGUAACAAUCUGCUCUCCCUUUCUUUUUCUCUACAUCAUCUCCAUUCUUCUCUUUUCCCUUUUCUCAAUUCAAAAGAUCAGUGUUAAAUAGUUUAAGUAGAGUAAUGGAGGAAAUAAUUCAUUUAACCUAGUUACUUUGUUGAUGAAUUCAAUAAUAUACUGAUAUUAUGGGCAGAUUCCCAUAUGUAUCCAAAUCCCUGCAAAGAGCAUUCGGUCAUCAAUACUGAUUGAGACACCAUACAUUAUCUAAAAACAGUACGUCCCUUAUGUAAAUACUGCUUAUUUGCACAUGAAGCACAAAGUGACAGGGAUUGUCCAUUUUCCUCUCAAAUUCUUUGUUGUUAGGAUAGCUCCUUGUGUUACUAUCGGUUUAAAAGCACGCUUCCCAAAUGCUGUAGGGAUCCAUAUUGAAGAGUGAGGGAAGUUACCUUUUCUUUAGCAGUCCAUUAUAAAAUGAUUUCACUAUGAACAUAACAUCUUUCUGGCCUUUCCUGUUUCCAGCUACCUUUGUCCAUAAAUGAUAUUUUUGCUUGUACGGUAAUGUAAGCAAACUAUUAAGCUGUUUCAUCGUCCAAUCCUUCACUCAAAUGUAGUUUCUAUAGAAUUUCCUCAUUCUUUAUAAUUGGGACGAGUGUUAAUCUCUGCUGGCUGAAAGUAUUGAAUAUGAUCAGAAAACUUAACAUAAAAGAAUAUGACUACAUUGUCUCUAUUUCCAGAAAUUGAUUCUGGUUUCAUUACCUCCCUUCUAAUUUGACACAUCCAUAGAAUCUCUCCACAUUUUCACCAUAUCCUCCAUAGAGUUACUCCAUAUAGCAUGGAUAAUCUGAUUGGUCCUAAUUAUCCCACUUGAUCUACAUACUUUUUAACUAUGAUCGCUCUCCACAAUGGUUGAUUUCCAUGCGAAACCCCCAAGUCAACUUCCCUAGUUGAGUUCUAUGAACAUUCCAUCUCCCUAUCGUGUCCCAUAAUAGAUUCGUUUACACUUUUUAACCUUUUGCCAUGAUUCCUGGUACAUAGUAAGUUGACAGAUUCGAAAAAUUACUCUUUGAUAAUGGUCUCUCUCUCCCUUUUAAGUAAGUAUUACUUCUACCGUCCUUUAGUUUCUUUUUGGUUCUCAACAUUCUCUUUCAUAUUGCAGUCUUUGUAAAUCGUACUGGUAUAGUCAAUAUGGAUACAUAGUAAGUUGGCAGAUUAAGCAAAUUUCUCUUGAUCGCUGUGUCUAUCUCACUUUUUCAAGAAGUAUUUCUUCUACCAGCCUGUUAGUCUCUUUUUGACUCUCUCGACCAUCAGUUUUUUUUCUUUGACAAUCCUUGAAAGUCGCACCCAGCGGUAGUAUUGAUAAGUCAUCUUAUGAUGGGACCCAUACUGCAACUAUGGAUCUCCACCAGCUAUUUAAUGCUCUUCGCUUCAUCAAUCUUAGAGUUCCCUGAGACCACAAUAGUAGAGCUGAUUUGCCUCGGUAAUAACACAAAAUGUCAUCUGCAUAUAGUAAGAUAUAGUAGAUAAUACACUUGUAAACUAUCUUUCCUUCCCUACAAGCUGUGAAGCCCCAUAAAUAACCCCUGUCCUUAUUCUCCAUCUUCUUGUUGAAUAUUUCAAUGAUCAGUAUGAACAAUGUCAGGUGUAGGGUUUUUAAAGUCUUGCUUAAGGCGCAGUUAAGUCUUGAAGCUCAGUGAAAUCCAAUUUGUGGGAUUCACCUCCCAUGGUUGGCACUUUAGUGUAGGUACUAUAAUAUGUGCUUCUUCACCUAUGAGCUCCAUCUUUAAGAGCAUUGCACUAGACAAUAAAUAGAGUUGACAAAGUUAUAUUAAUUGUUAAGAAAGCCUUAUGAAUGAACUUUUAGCGAUUAGCAAUAAGAAAUUAGAAGCUGCACCAAGGGUGUGGCCUAGUGGUCAAUGAAGUGGGUUGAACACCAUGAGUUCUCUGGUUCAAUUCCCAACAGAGACAAAACAUUAGGUGAUUUCUUCCCAUCUGUUCUAGCCUUGGUGGACAGAGUUACCUGGUAUCUGUUGCUGGUGGGAGGUGGCAGGUAUCCCGUGGAAUUAGUCGAGGUGCACGCAAGCUGGCCCGGACACCACGAUUAUAAAAAAAAAGCAAUAAGAAAUUAGAAGUUCAAUAUAAGAAAAUUAGCCAUUAAAAACAUAAAACUAUGUUUUUCAUUUAAAUAAGAAGUUUAAAAUGGUUUCUGAGCUUACUUAACAUGACUUUUACUUCAUAUAUACAACCUAAUUCCAUUCUUUCGUACAAAGAACUAAUUUUUUUUUUUGUAGUUACAUUUACUUGCUUUACAUUUUUUUAUUAGCGCUUUUGUACGUUAAAACCCAUACUUCGAUUGCACUUUAAUCUUAAAGCCCAACGAACUUUAGCACUUUUUGCUUUUGACUACUUUGGUAAGGUGAUCACCUUGUCAUAGACCUCUUGAGCUUCCAAAGAAACCUUUGGGAUUCCGUUUACUAGACUGAGAACUUGAUAGUGGGCAUCAGAAAGUGGAUCAUUGUUUUCAUCUCUCCCAUCCCUUAUUCUCCAUAACGAGGUCCAGAAGUCAUGCUUUUUAUGGAUUACUUUACACAGUACUCGUGUCUCUCUACUCUUCCGUUCUAGCUCAGUCACUAUAUAAGCUCCUUGUAUAACUUAAAUAGCAGACAAAAUAGAUUUAAGGGCCCAAAUAAUAAAACAAUUCUAACAACGAAAAUUUCCACUUGUGAAACAAUUUGACUCCUAUGAUGUAGGAACUCAAUGAAAAUUACUGGGGUACUUUCUUCUGAAAUAAUUUUGCUCAAACAUCUCAAAAGCUAUCGUGGACUAACAUGAGCUCAAUUUAAGAAAAUACCUGAAUUGCUUAAUACACAAAAAUAUCCUUAUUUUUAUUCUAUAGGUCAUUGAACAAGUUAUUAGCAGAGAGAAGAAAUAUAUGUGAUAAAGAACAAGAAAGUUUACCGAUGAUUCUCUUGCAAGUUUUGUAGUUGUUGCCUCAGCACUGCCGCUUCCCUUUGCCAAAACUGCUAAGAAGAAAAAAUAUUUCUUACAUUUUGGAUUAUCAAGAACAAGAACAACAUGCCCAGUGUGAUCCCACAUGUGGGUUUUGGAGAAUGUAUGGUGUACGCAGACCUUACCCCUACCUUGUGUGAGGUAGAGAGGUUGUUUUCAAUACACCCUUGGCUCAAGAAAAGAAUUUUCAAAAUAGGUUUAAAAAAUACAAGAGUAAAAAAGUUAUGAUGAAAAUACUGAAACAAAGAAAAUUAUUGCCAGCAAAAUAGUAAAGAUAAUCGAAAUAAAAGAAACACCAGUUGUAUAAAAUUGAGGAAUAAAAUAAUAAUACUAGGAUAAUAAUACUAAUACUGAUAAAGAGAAGAGGGUGCUCUAAACUAGAACCACUGCUCUCCCGCAAAAAAAGAGAGAAAUCGCUUGACUACCUGCUAAUCUUCUACUCUAAUCCGCGGCCUCCAAGCUCUCCUAUCUAGGGUUAUGUCUUCGGUGGGCUGAAGAUGUGUCAUGUCCUGUCUAAUCAUCUCUCCCCAGUUCUUCCUCGGUCUACCUCUACCUCUCCUAAGACCUAUCAUUGCCAACCUUUCGCACCUCCGCAUUAGGGCAUCUGUGUUCCUCCUAUUCACAUGCCCGAACCAUCUCAACCUCGCUUUAAGGAUCUUGUCCAUCAUGAGGGCCACUCUUACCUUGUCCCACAUAUCUUCUUUCCUAAUCUUAUCUUAUGCUCACACAUCCUUCUAAGCAUCUUCAUUUCCGCUUCUUGCAUUUUCUGAACGUGUGAGUUCUUGACUAGUCAACACUCUGCUCCGCAUUUUGGAUUAUCAUAGGAGACAUUAAUGGAUAUCGCUGCAUGCUUUGAAAACUAGGUGCAAUAUCAAUAGUAAACAAAGCUUAGAUGUAAUGGGUUCUAUUUAGAUUAAUGUAUAGCCGUUCCCUUCCUUGCGGUCCAAGAAAUAGAUCCAUGUAUAACCUCAAGAUUGUGUAUUUUAAUUUAUUAGCCCUUUUAAAUUAGGGGGAAAAACAAAAUGAGCUAGGGUUACUUUCUUGAGGUUGCAUCCUGUCAAUGAUGAAAAAAGAAGGAAAAAUGAAAUACACUAGCUUAUGGUUCCGCUCCCCUCUAUUUCACUAGCUAACAUAAAUAAAAAUAUCAUUUCCUUUGUGUUAUCCCAAGGAUUGGAUCUGGUUAAGAAUCGCUGUAUACUCCUUAUGAAUGUCACUUCUCUUUUAUAAGAUUAAAAGGGAAAAGGAAGAACUUGAAUUCUUUUGAUUUUAGUUUUAAAUGUGGAGACACUUCUUGUGGUUAAUUUUUUUUCAAGAAGUAAAAAUUUUCAAAAAGAAGAAUCUGGUAUAAAUUAGACAAAUUCAAAAUAAUAGAUGCAUCAAAUAUGAUUAGAGGACGCAGCAUAUGAAACCUUACUGAUCUACUUUGGCUUAGAGACAACUUUAUCUUAAAAAAGACUUUGUAGACAUGCUGUCAAUUCUUGUUUCUUGAUUGCCUCAUUGAUAGGUUUCUCCUCUUUCUCUUACAUUGAUGAAAUGGUAGUGUCGUUUUUAAUAACUAAAACUUGAACUUUUUUCUUUUAAGCUAGUUCAGAUUAGGAUUUUGGAAGUUCUCUGGUUCAGGCGCAAAGUUCGACAUUUGGGAAUUGAAGGGGAUUCGAGUCUCAAACAUUAGUAGAUAACAUUAGAGAGUCAAAAAUACACUGACAAAGAGAACAUUGUUGCUGUGUCUGUGAAUCAGCUGCUUUCCAGAGUGACUCUUUGACCGUUUUCUUCUGUAUCUCCUCACAUUGAUGAAAAUGGGUGUAGAAGAGGAUUUCUACUUUUGGUACAAAGGUCGACAUGUAGGAAUAGAAGAGGAUUUGAGUCUUAACAUGACUAGGACACAUCAAGAUGUUGACCAUGCAACCAAGCCAGGUUGAAUUCAAUUUUUGUCAUUUUCGUGGAAGACAUAUUGUAGAUUUAGCUACAAGACUUCUUCUGCAUAGCACUAACAAUUUGAUGCAUCUCUUAGCAUGGACCCUAUUAUUGACUGGUUGCCCUGAUUAAUACAAUGCCUUGAUAUGGAUUUGCUGUAGAGUGGCUUGAGUGAUGUUAAUUAACAGCUCCUAUAUUUUGUGGUAAAUUACUCCUACAAACUUGUGAAGAAUUCUUCAAACCAAUGGGUUUGAAUGACAUUUCAUAGGGGAUUCAAAGUUUUGAAGUGAAAGAGAUAGCCACAAGGCAUCUUUUUUAUAUUUGUUGCUUCCUACCUUCAAAAGUUUUGCUCCACAAUAUGCCAUCAGCGAUAGAAAUGUAAGUUAUAGUUGUUUUGGUAGCCUUGAAGUUGAUGGCCAUUCUGGUGUGUGGUACUGCAUGGAGGAUGCAAAUUCAACGUUCUGCUUCGUAAAUGAGUUCUUACAGUUGCCGCAUAGUUACUCUAUGCUAUACUAUCAUAUGUUAUUCAAACCUCGGUCCUAAUUGUGCUAUAAUUUGUUUGUAACUUCCUUCUAUGCUUUGCACCAUAUGUGGGAUUUUUACAAUUGGAUCUAGCUUAAUUGACUGAGAAUAAUCCUACUGAAUAGAUGAAAUAGGACUCCACCAUCUAAUAGGUCCACAAGACUGAAUUUCCCCUCUUUGUAUACAGUUUUUAGUUCAUAGGAAGAGUUUGUUUCUUCAUUUACCAUCUCCUCUUGUACCUUUUAUUAUCAAAGUGAAAUAUGUGAAAGAAGAAUAAAAGAUUUGAUGCCUAAUGUUAUUGAUGGCUUUUUGGUAUAGGUUACAACAACAACAAUUACCCUGUAAAACAACAAUUGAUGGUGUACCUUACCCCUACCCAGGGGAGUAGAGAGGCUGUUUCUGAUAUACCCUCACCAGAAAAUAGAUGAAAAGCAAAAACAAUAAUCAGUAAAUAAGGCCCGGAAUUAUGAAAAACGGAAGAAUAGUGUGAACACAACAUUAACCGCUAGCCGUCUAAGACAAAACUCUAUCAGACUAGCCUCACACCUGUUACGGAGUAGAAAAAUGCUUGACUACCCCCUAACCUACAAUCCUAAUGCUCGACAUCAAGGGCCAUGUCCUCGAAAAUCUGAAGCUACGCCAUAUCCUGCCUGAUCACCUCUCCCUAAUACUUCUUAGACUGCCCUCUACCUCUUCUCGUACUCGUCAAAGCCAACUGCUCACUCCUUACCGUGGCAUCUAGGCUUCUCCUCCGCACGUGCCCGAACCAUCUGAGCCUCGCUUCCCGCAUCUUGUCAUCCAUAGGAGCCACACCCACCUUCUCCCGAAUAUCUUCAUUCCUAAUUUUAUCGAUCCUAGUGGACCCGCAUAUCCACCUCAACAUCCUCAUUUCUGCUAUUUUCAUCUGCUGGAUAUGUGAGUUCUUAACUGGCCAACACUCUGCCCCAUACAACAUGGGCGGUCUAACCACCGCUCUAUAAAACUUGCCUUUGAGUAUCGGUGGCACUUUCUUGUCACGCAGGACUUUAGAAGCUAACCUCCAUUUCAUCCAUCCAACCAAUAUACGGUGUGUGACAUCCUCGUCGAUCUCCCCAUCCCGCUAGAUAACCGACCCAAGAUACUUGAAACUGCCUCUUUUAGGAAUGACCUGCGAUUCAAGCCUCACGUCCAUGCCCGAUUCCCUCAACUCGGCGCUGAACUUGCACUUCAGGUAUUUUGUCUUAGUCCUGCUCAACUUGAAACCCUUAGACUCUAGGGCCUGUCUCCAAACCUCCAGCCUCUCGUUAACGCCUCACGUCUCAUCAAUUAGAACUAUGUCGUCAGCAAAUAACAUACACCAUGACACCUCCCCUUGAAUAUGAUGUGUCAGUGCGUUCAUCACCAGGGCAAAUAAGAACAGGCUAAGCGCAGAUCCUUGAUGUAACCCGAUAACAACCGAAAAAUGCUUUGAGUCAUCUCCCACUGUCCUAACCAGAGUCUUAGCUCCAUCAUACAUGUCUUUAAUCGCCCUAAUGUAAGCAACCGGCACACCUUUUGCCUCCAGGCAUCUCUAAUGAACCUCCCUACGGACCUUGUCAUACACUUUCUUCAGGUCAAUAAACAUCAUGUGUAGAUCCUUCUUCCUAUCCCUGAACUGUUCCACUAACCUCUUAUAUCUUCCGUAGUUGAACGACCCGGCAUGAACCCAAACUGGUUGUCAGAUAUAGACACCGUCCUCAUCACCCUNNNNNNCNNNNNNNNNNNNNUCCUUUGUUCUUGUACAACGGUACCAUCGUACUCCACCUCCACUCAUCCGGCAUCCUUUUCGUCCUGAAAAUAACAUUAAACAGUCCAGUCAGCCACUCCAAGCCUGCUCUACCCACACACCUCCAAAAUUCUACCUGAAUUUUGUUUGGCCCGGUUGCUCUUCCCCUACUCAUCUUACGUAUAGCCCCCACAACCUCCUCAACCUUAAUGCGCCUAUAGUACCUAAAGUCUCGGUGACUCUCAAAAUGCCCCAAUUCACCUAGCACAAUAUCCCGGUCCCCCUCUUCAUUCAGAAGUUUAUGAAAGUAAGUCUGUCAUCUCCGCUUAAUCUGAGCCUCUCCCAUCAAUACUCUACCGUCAUCGUCUUUGAUGUACCUCACUUGGUCCAGAUCUUGAGCCUUCCUCUCUCUCCCCUUGCCCAGCCGGAAUAACUUCUUAUCCCCACCUUUGUCUCCCAAUUCCUCGUAUAGACGCCCAAACGCUAUAGUCUUAGCCUCUGUGACCACCAAUUUCUCCUCCUUCCUAGCUACCUUAUACCUCUCCAUGUUCGCUUCUCUCUCCUCCUCUCCUGUGCUCCCUACUAACUUCAGGUACGCCGCCUUCUUCGCUUCCACUUUACCUUGGAUCACUCCAUUCCACCACUAGUCGCAUUUGUGCCCGCCAGAGUAACCCUUCGAGACCCAUAACACCUCUCUUGCCACCUCCCUUGUACAGUUCGCCGUCAUCGUCGACAUAGCGCUCGCGUCCCACUACUCCUCUAGGCUCGCAUAGACGAUAACCUCUCUUCCAACUCCUGAGGUUUAUCCUUAGUCAAGGCUCCCCACCUGAUCAUCGUUUAUUGCUAGUAUUGGUUAUGUUGAGGCCGACCUAGACCAACACAAAGUAAUGGUACUCAUUCUUCGUCUAUGCAUAUGUACGUUGAAGAUUUAAUCUAAUCUUAAAUAUUAAAAACUUGUUAUUUUAUUUUUCCAGCUACAUUUUUAUUAGAAAACUUACAAAAGUAAGACUCUUGAUUUUGUGUUCUAGUAUCAUUUCAUUCUGACGCUCUUGAGAUACCUCAUGGAGUUUAUUCUCCUCCUUGCUUCUGAAGAUGAGUUGAACACAAGCCUAUAACAUGAUCUAGGUUUUCAUGGUUUUGGACUUCAGCUUUGGAACUUCUAUUUAUUUUCAUAAUUGAGAUUUGGUAGACUUAUGGUAAGUGAGAGGAGUUGAAAGCAGUGGCGGAUCCAGAAUUUUCAUCAAGGGGUGUCAUAAUAUAAAUAAUUAGAUAUAUCGAAAAGUGAAGGAGAGUCAACGUAUAGUAAAUAUACAUAAAAUAAAAAAAGUUAUCUAGCAAAAUAGUGUAAUUUUCCGGCGAAUGGGUGUCGCUUGACAUCCCUUGCUUCAAUGUGGCUCCGCCACUGGUUGAAAGUUAUUUAAAAUGCUAAGAGGACCGUGUUAAGGUGGCAUUUGACUUAUUAGGGGGAGGAAAAUUGGAAAACUAUUCUGCAUGUCUUUAGUAUUUUGGCUUGAACAUGAUGUAAUACUGUUGGAUUUAUUAUCUCCUGUAUUUCAAUGUUGUAUUUCUGGGGAUUCUGCUGAACUUAUCCCAUGCUAUUAUUCAUAGAGUUAAGACUGUAAUUUAUCUGCAAUAGAGUUAAAGCACAGGGAUAGACAAGUAUGUGAUCAACACUUUGUUGAUAUCUAUGUAGAAUUUACAUUCUUCAUUUUAUACCAGAAAGAGAUAUUUUACAUGCUUCAAAUUAUCUUUGUCUUGUUUCCCAACUUGCAAUGAAGCUAAUGGUAGACGACCGCUCCUAUAUGUUGAUGGUGGGAUUAUGUGGAGAGAGGCUACAUCUCAUCCCACCCAUGUUAUAAUAGUUGGUAGUGCUUGAUAACGUGAAGUUUAGCAUUAGCACUUUUGACAAAAGGUAAGCAAAAGGUUAUGUGAUAAGUGAAGAGCUUAUCUACAUACGGAAAGAAAUCAUCUAGAGUAGGAUUGAACAGAGAUAUUGGGUCUCUUUGAGGUGGCAAAACUGAACCAUGGAUACCAUUGCCCCACUCUAUGGUAACCGAGGCUUCUAGUUGAGGUUUCAUGACAUUUAGGCAACUAUUAGUGGCUUUUGUUAAGAAUAAUACAUAAGUUAGUGUCGUUUAGAUGCAUGUUGGGGAGGAAGGAUAUCUGUCAGAUUAUUAUUUAGGCUCUUUAGUUGUUGGUCAUAUUCAGUUUGCUUCAUUUUUGUAGAGUGAUAGUAUGGCAUGUGAUGAAAAUUGGUUUGUAGAAUGGAUUCCUUCUGGUCAGAGGUAACUAUAUAGAGUCUAACCACAUCUAAGGCGGAAGGUUUAUCUGGUUAUAGUUCUUCAAUGUUUUAGCCAUAUCCUUGGUUCUUAUGUUGCUGUAUUUGCAUAAUAUGUAUUGCUUAGGUUUAGGGGUGGCAAAUAGGUGGGUCGGAUCGGAUAUGAGCAGGUCGAAAAUGGGAAUGCAAAAAUGGAUAAAUUAUCCGACCUAACCCAUAUUUAAUACGGAUAGAAAAUGGGUUAACCGNNNNNNNNNNNNNNNNNNUAAACUCAUUAGUUAUCUAUUGGUUAUACAUUAGUUAUUCAUUUUCUAAGUGGAUAAUAUGAUUUUUAUCCAUAUUUGACCCGUUUUUAAAAAAUUCAUUAUCCAAUCCAUUUUUUUAGUGAAUAAUAUGGAUGGAUAACUGUUUUUUAAUCCAUUACCGCUACUUAGGUUCAUGACAUAUGGGCAACAUUUUUUUCUUGUGCAGUAAGAAAUUAGCCGUGCCCCAGAUGGAGAUUAUAACACAGCUCUAGAUGAGAUCUUCUGUUCUUGGAUUUUGUGUACCGUAGGAAGUGUGUGCUAUGAGCAUGAGUGCAAUGUCAUGAUGGCAGUAUUAACCCCUCAGCAGAAUGCUUAAUUAUGCCUUAAAUUAUGUUGACCUAUGCAGUCUUAUUAUUAAAAGGAGUCAAGUUCUGCUUCCGUGAUCAAUCUUACGAGAAAUUACCUUCCAAUACCAUAUCCAAAGUUCCUUGCUGCACCUGAACUGAUAUGGCUCUCUGUCAGAUGAAAAUCCCCUGAAUGGUAGACUAAUCUACACUGCUUCAGUUUCACAGUAGUAUCAGGGUGUGUGAUUUCUGAACACAGGAAGGCCCAAUGUUUCUCCUGUUUCACUUCCCAUCACAUUUCGUUUACCUAUAUGCCUGAACUGCAUAAUUCCUGUAAUACUGAUAUGUGAAGAACGAACUAUUUUUUAAUGGGAAUUUUUAUUCCUUUGCAGCAUCUUGAAGACAUGAAGCAUAGCGUCUGACUUCUGUUUUUCCCUUCUGCAAUUGCAAAGAAGGAUUAGAGAUUGAUCUCCAAAUACUGAACAGAUGACAUGACAAAGACAUGUUAUAGAGUUGGAUACCUUGAGUGAAGCAGUGGUACCUAGAACCUAGUGCUAUCCAUGAAUGUCAUUAUCUGCUUAAUAACGACAAGAGGGACUGAGUAGAAGUAAGAAGAUAAGGUUCAGAUUAACACCAACUGUGUCAUCUUGGUAGAAAGUUUAGGACCGGUAUCCACUUCUCUUUUUUCAAAAAAGGUUUGACUCGUAUACUCAGUAGUACCACAUUCAAGUCAGACAAGUUAGGAGAUGAGUGUGCCCUAGCUGACCAUUAUCAAGAAAUGGACUUCACGGUAAGGAAAUCAUUACUCCCUCUACCACGAAUUGAAUUUCCUUGUUGAGUUGGCAUGACUCAGAUGAUGAAAAUUCUGAAGAUUUUGUUUGAGAUUUUGUGGAAACUGGUUAGAAGGGGGCCUGGGGCCUGGGGGGAUAAGCAAUCUUUGAAGUCUGUCAUACUAGAAGUUUUCCCACAAUAAAAGAACCUUUACACUGUAAAAGUAAUUUCAAAGAUGGCCAAACUUUCCUGUACAACAGAAUUUGACAGAUUGCUAAAUCCUUGAAGUCGAUUUAUUAAUGGUCAUCAUCAGUGAAAAGGUAGCAUGUUGCUUUUAUUCUAAUCAUGUGGCCUGUCAGUACCCUCAAGAACAUGAAAACCCUAAUUAUUGUUGUUUUAAUCUAGCAGGAAUCAGCCUGUGUCCAUGUAGAAUAUUUUUUCACAUUAAUAUGAAGACUGUAGUGGUUAGGUGGAAUCUGUUUAGCUGAAGAUGUUCUUGUUGAUAUGAUGCAAAUCGAAAUAAUUGUGAACUAUAAGACAGUUCUAUCCCUAGCUAUGCUUUGAUUGCUAGACAAAUGGGAGUCAUAGUCCCUGAUCUAUUCUUUUAUGUGACCCCUCUCCAGUUAAAUCCUGAAUAGCUGAAGUUGCAGUACGUUCAUACAAUAGGUAGCUUUUCAUGCUGCAUCAUAAUAAUGGAAUACUUAGUUCCUGUUCUCUGUCAAUGUGUUGGAUUGCCCCUGGCUGAUCGUGUCUUUUAUAAAACACAUUGGAGAAAUCUGCUCUAGUCUUGUAAAAUAUCUUCCUUCCGUUUAAACUAUCUGUCUUCAAACUUUAGCCUUCAGUCCAGCAUCUUCAACGGUACAGCUGACUGUAACUAUGAGAAUCUGCAUGCUUCUUUCUUGCAGCAUUUUGUUUGUUUUUUGCUUUUGCCCCUUUAUCCUGCUCUCCAUCUCCUAAUUCUAAUUAAUUUGCUAAAACUUGCGGAUAGGUGCUAAUAUCUUUUAAAUCCUUUUCACAAAGAGGUGUAAACAACAAUGCCCCUCAGGGUUUUGUUCUAGUGGUAAGAGCACAAUCGAUGAUGUGUGGAUUAGGCACAGGCCACAGGUUCGAAUCUUGCCUCAGACAAAGCCAGAUAUUUAAGUGGAGAUGGGUAGAGCGGCGGGCCCAUCAUUCACCCAGUUUCGAACCCUUUGGCCACUGGGAUCUCUCGGUAGUCAGGAAAAAGUGUUAACGACAAUACACCACAAUUUAUGCAUGUUGUGAAAAGAGGAAAGAGGAGAGAAACUCUUACUGAACUUCUCUUGUUAGAAAAGCUCUCGUGUCUUACUGAACUUUUUUGGGUUAACAUAUAUGAGGGCUCUUUUUUAAUGGACUGAAGAAUCCUAAUUAUUGGGGUUUUCAAUUAUGACAUAAUAGUUUAUAGUUCUCUGGUCAAUGGCAGAACAUUAGGAGUAAUUCUCACUAAGAUCAUUUUGACACACUUUUAGACUUAUAGACUCCUUGUAUCUUGGAUAGGAGUUGAGCAAAAACUUUAGUACAGGUUCAACUCCUGAUUGUUGACGGAACAGUGUUCAUCACCGAAAGGUCGUAUUCUUUCUCACAGACUGUUAUCGACACAGCCAAAGAAAUGUGCCUUGCAGCACAUGGGAAAAAUCGUCUUAAUUUAGCGGAAAGAGAUUUUGGUGACACAAAUCUCUAUUAAAUCAUGUAAGCUUGAAUUAAAAUUGAAGGGUAACAAGAAAUUAUUGGGGUAAUUGCUGGCAAAGCCAGAGAAAAGUGACCGGAAGAGACGAUGCCGUCAGGAUGGUUGCCUGAAAGAGAUCAGCGUGGUGCCUCAAAUGUUCUCUGGAAAGAAGUGUGGAGCCUGAAAAGGCACAAUGCUGCCUAAAUGAUGGCUGGAAACAAGAAUAGUGCUGCCUAGAAGGGUUAUCAGAAAGAGGCAAGAGUAGUACUUAGAUUUCCACAAAUAUCGUAGAAGCUUAAUACGCCUAAUACUACAUGGAAGGAGAGAGACGAAGAGAAACUCUUGUUGGAACUGGUUGAUAACAUCAAGAGUGCUCCUUGUAGAAAAGUUUUGAACUAUAUAUGAGAUAAGGAAGUUUCAUGUUCCUAAGGUUUCCUAUUUAUUACAUGAUAUAUAAUCACUAAGGAUAUUUUCCAUAUUAUUCUUAUUGAUCUUGUAACUUUCAUUGGUAAUAUAAUCAUUACCAAAUUCUCUGCUAUUUAAUUAUUCUGUUAACUUUGAACAUCUUUUUUUUUCUUAUUAUAGUGGUGUCCGGGUCAAUUUGCUCGCACCUUGAGUAUCCCACCGAAAAGCCUGCGGUACACAUGGCGCGAAAUCAGCUCACCAUGGUAGAGCAGAUAGGCUUAUACCGAGUGUUAUAGCUUAGCUUUGAACCUGAGAUCUCAGGUUGUUACUCAUGUGUCUCAACUGCUCAACCAUUUCCUUUUUCAACGACAUGAAAUGGCUAUGAUAGAAACCUUAGUAUGCAUAUUUUUCUUUGACUAGUUGACUGCAAAUUAACCAGUGAAACUUACCCUAACCUCAGAAGUUGGAGUUGCCAGUUGGUGAUUCUCCUCCUUUGUUUUGUUGUAUCUUUCAAUCACCGACUUCAUGCUGUCAAAGUAAAUAUAUUCAGAAUUGUCUACGUUGUACUGAUUGAGCAAAAAUUUUGGAUGUAUCACAAAGUUGUUCUGUUUGUUUCUAGUCUAGCCUCUACAUACAUAAUAGUUAAAUUGUGUGGACUUCCCUUGUCAAAAAAAAUUGUGUCGUCUCCAUACUAGGUCAUUGUAAUUAAAUACUUUUUUAUCUAAUAAGAAAGGACUCGAAUAAAACAGGGCAGAAAACAUCUUUUGCAGCCUCUUAUUAACACGAUGGCUGCAGUUCUGGUAUUUUAUUUUCUCUCUUUGGUUUUCAGUUGAAUGGAGUCGAGAGUGAUGGCACGCAAAACCUUUACAAAGUGAAUGGUACUGUCUUGAAGGUAGGUCUCUGAAGUUUGUUUGGCUCCUUUUACUCUAAUUUCAUGUACCAAUCAUCAAGGUAUGGAUUAACUCGUUAGUUGUGGGUGUUCCCUUCAUGCUUAGUAUUAGAAGCCAAACAAGGGGGGGGGGGGGGGGGGAAGGAAUAUCGAACACGAUCUAAUGAGCGUAAGAAAGCUUGUUAUCUUGAACACCAAGUUAUUUCUGUAGGCAUUCUCUGUGCUGCUUCUAAAUUCUAUACUAGUUAUUGAAUGUUGAUUGAGUGAUAAGGAAUUGUCUAAACAUACAACCUGAAUUCAGAUAAAGAAUAUAACAUGGGGAUAUUUCAGAAUGAUAACCCAAAUGCAUGAGGAAGAGAAUUUCCUAAAACAUAACUAGCAUAAUGUAAAUGCAUGCAAGAGAUGCAUAAUGAUAACUGCAACUGUAGUUAAGGAACUAUCUGUAGGUUUUUGGGUGAAAUAAGGUAAGUUUUAGGAUCCCGGAUAUGAUAAAAAGAAAAGAGGUUCAGUCUCUCGGGUCAAACUUUCCUUGCCUUUCUCUUCUGUUUAACAUAUCUUUAUUUCUGUUUCUGACUCCUUUUCUGUUUGUCUGUCUGUCUGAUGGAGUAUUUCUGAAUCAUUCAUGACAUUGAAAGCAAUUGUUUAGUGGUAGAAUGGUAGUAAUAGAUAAAAUAAUUCUAACAACAACAACACAUCGGCAGUAGUAAUUUCUCAGCCAGUAUGGUAGUGGGGUGUUAUGGUAUACUUCAUGAGUAGUUUUAGUGACUCAAUGAGAAAUGCUUAAUGAAAUCAUGAUAAAGAUAUGUUUAGGCUAGAAUAGAAAUGCUGGCAAUCAGAAGAUAGCACGAAAUGAUUGGAACAACAAAUUUAUUGGGCCAUUUGCAAUCAGAAGAUAACACGGCUUCUGAAGUCUGAUUCGCACUAUAACAUGCAAUGCAUCCCCUUCCUCUCUAUGUAUGUCAUAGGGUCUUUCAUUUGAUUUUGUCAGUAACAUGCUUGAUGUUAUCAAAACCAGAAGCGCAGCGAAAAAGGAACACAUUCAUGCAUGAGACAAAGAAUUGCUUGAUGUUCCAGAAUAAUAGUAAGAACAAGAUACUAGAAUAGAUGUCAUUUGAGAAAGGAGUGAUGUGAAAAACUUAAGCAUAUAUAUCUCAUUCUGGAGUCCUAACGGAAAAAGCGAUCGUCAUCUAGAGUUCUUCAUUCAUGUAACUGCUGGUGUAACUAGUUCUAUUAGCAGAAAGCAGCACCAGAAAAUAGUAUCAUUUGUUGAGAUACCAGACUUCGUAAUACAUGCCUUUGUCACCCUUGUAGCAGAGUUCUAACAUCGUCUGUAUUUCUGCUGGUUUCCACUUUUCAAUGUUCCUCCUAUAUUUUCUUGUGCAAUAUAUUCAGACCCGUCUCCCACUGUUACAUUAUAUGAUUAAAUGAGGAAUCUACCAUGAUUAUAAGUUGAGCUAUAUGGUGUGACUGCUAUUCAGAUAGUGUUCCAGUCAAGUUCUCAUAAUAAUUUUGUGGUUAAAGAUGUUUUUUUUUGGUAAUUAAACAUUUAUUAAUCACCAAGGAAGAUCCGUACAAAGCCAUAGUUAGUUAAACUCGACUAUCUAAAAACAAGAAACUAUCAAUUCCUCUAUCUACCAUCCUAGGAAAUUUAAAACGAACAAGAUUGAAAAUAACUCCUAGUUCUAACAGGGGAUCUAGCACAACAUGUAUAAGCUAUCUCUUUUGCAAUGGUGACCCAAUCUUUUUACUCUUCUGUUCAAAGAUCCUUUGGUUCCUUUCUAUCCAUAUUUCUAUAUAUAGCAACUUGAAAAUCUGGGCAGUUGGUGAUUUUCCUUGGCAUUCUCAAUAGUCCACUGUUGAUAUUGCAUCCAUGCAGUUGGAAAAGUUGUAUUCUUCUUCCCCCAUAGCAGUACCUUGUCCCAUAUCUUCCUUGAGAGUCUACAUUGGACAAAGAGAUGUUCAUUUGUCUCAUUGUGUUCUUGGCAUUGGCUACACUUUAGUUCCACAUUGAGUCCCCAUUUUACUAGCCUAUCCGCAGUGAGUAAUCUUUCAUGCAAGUGAAGCCACAUGGUAAAAUGUGCUCUAGGUCUAGCAUCCCUUCUCCACGCUCUAGGUCUAGCAUCAUUGGAGAACAUUAGGCAUUUCCAUGGUAUUCUUGGUAGGUCUCCUAGGUAGUGUUGUCAAAAGCGCACUUAAGCCCUGGAGCGAGGCUCAAAAUAUGUUGAACGCUUCGCCUCGCUUUGUGAGCGCUUUAGUGUUGCAUCAAGGCUCUAUGGCAUACUUUCUCUUGCCAAUUAAUGUAAUCCUGAAAAGGCGAUAUUGAACAAUUGAUAUUUCGCUUUAUCGUAAUUCAAUUUCUUUGUCCAUAUUUUUGUUAUUCAUGUUUGUAAUUAUUAGUCUUAGACUACAUAUACAUAUUUUUACUUUUUCUCCAGUUGCGCCUUUUUUCAUUAAAAACCAUGCUUUAUUUGCGCUUUGCGUUUAAAGCACCAAUGGAUCUUAAGAGCUUUUUUGUGCUUUUCGCCUUUGAUAACACUGCUCCUAAGAGCUGCAAAUAAGUCUGCUUAAUCAAGCUUUUCCCUGGUGCAGGUUGGUCCAGUAGUUGCAUCAUGGUAGUUCUUGCAUCAAAGAUCCUCCUAACCAUCCAACAUGCACAUUGUGGCACCUUCACGAUAGCAAAUUGCUGCCCCUUGAUGUAAUAGCUAUGAAUCCAUCCAUAACCUGUCAGUUUUAUGUGCUAAGUCCCAACAGGUUUUCAAUACUGCUGCUCUAUUCCAUAGCCUUAAGUUCAUGAGGUUGAGUCCACCUGCAGAUUUAGGGGAGCAAACCAUUUCCCAUGCAACCAAAGCCUUCUUACUUAUUGUGUUGACUCCUGACCAAACAUAACUACGACAGUAUGCAUCUAUGAUACCCAAUUUCUUGGCAAGGAUCAUGAAGAGUUGAGGUCAAUAGGCUUGGAUGCCAAAUAUGACUGAUUUGACCAGUAUCCUCCCAGCAUAGGACAAUUUUCUAGUAGUCCAUGAGGAGAUUCUUUUUUUUUUUUUUGAGAAGGUAACAUAAUUGUAUAUUAAUAUAAGACUUCACUAAAAUUGUGAAGUCACCCAUAAUUACAAAGAAAGUGCCCUAGCAAAAAUAAAAGACACUUUAAAUCCUUGGUCUUCUUACAAGGAUUCUAGUACAUCUAAAAUGGAUUCAAGAUCCUCCAAAAACUUCCCUUUACGCCAAAAAUGUCCUAUGCUGGGAGAUUCUUUUAACUAUCUUUUGUACAAGAGGCUGCCAUUGUGUUGUGGUCAACUUCUUAAUUGACAAAGGUAUGCCCAUGUAUUUGAAUGGUAGAUUCCCAUAGGUGUAUCCCAGCCGCUGCAAUUUUUAAUCCUUUUCUUCCUGUAUCACUCCUCCACAAUAUAAUGAACUUUUGCCUAGGUUAGCUUGUAAGCCUGAGGCAGAGGAAAAUUGAUGAAAGCACUGUUGAAGGUGAUAUAUAGACCCCACAUCUCCAUGAGCAAAGAGUAAGAGGUCAUCUGCAAAGGACAGAUGUGUAAUCCCCAGCUUAGCACAUUUGGGGUGAAAUCUGAAGGCCUUCUUAUCUUUCAAAUUGUUCAAUUGUCUGCUAAGAUAUUCCAUUGCUAUGGCAAAAAAGGAAAGGGGACACUGGAUCCUCUUGUCUCAGGUCCCUUGCAGCAUCAAAUGGUUCAAUUGGCUCACCAUUGAUCAAGAUAGAGUAGUUGACUGUUCUAAGGCAUUCCAUAAUUCAUUCAAUGAAUUUCCUGAGAAAAGCUAAUUCCUCGAAAAGCUGUUCUAGAUAGCACCAUUCAACUAUGUCAUAAGCUUUUUGUAGAUCAAUCUUGAUCAGACACCUAGGAGACACAUGCUUCCUAGCGUAAGCCUGUACUAGCUCAUGAGCCAAGAUGAUGUUAUCUGCUAUUUUCCUUCCUAGUAUGAAGCCUGCUUGUGCUUCACAGAUAAUGUCAGGUAUCACCUUUUGUAAUUUUGAUGCUAAGAUUUUUUAGAUAAUUUUAUAUAGAACAGUGCAGCAUGCAAUUGGUCUAUAUUAUUU